Molecule: transfer RNA, 74 nt
Filed under: Ornithorhynchus anatinus (platypus)
Lineage: Eukaryota; Metazoa; Chordata; Mammalia; Monotremata; Ornithorhynchidae
Rfam family: tRNA
About the family: Transfer RNA (tRNA) molecules are approximately 80 nucleotides in length.
Source: Rfam by way of RNAcentral
AGGAGCGUGGCCUAAUGGAUAGAGCAUUGGACUUUGGAGUCAGAAGGGCCUGAGUUCUAAUCCCAGCUCUGCUA